AUAUUUACCUGGCAGGGGAGACACCAUGAUCAAGAGGGUCUUUCACCCAGGGCGAGGCUUGGCCAUUGCACUCUGGCCGUGGGAGUGGGAAUCUCGACUGCAUAAUUUAUGGUAGUGGGGGACUGUAGUCACACUCUCCCCUG
This 143-nucleotide small nuclear RNA is filed under the name Sinocyclocheilus rhinocerous. RNAcentral describes it as "U1 spliceosomal RNA (ENSSRHG00000021273.1)". It matches the Rfam family "U1 spliceosomal RNA". From Rfam's summary of the family: U1 is a small nuclear RNA (snRNA) component of the spliceosome (involved in pre-mRNA splicing). Its 5' end forms complementary base pairs with the 5' splice junction, thus defining the 5' donor site of an intron. Lineage: Eukaryota; Metazoa; Chordata; Actinopteri; Cypriniformes; Cyprinidae. The record is from Rfam by way of RNAcentral.